GGUUCUUCAGCCUCGUUCCCGGGUAGUAUAAAGAUUGCUGUCUCCUUUGUUCGCCCUCGUUGCGCAGUCGUCCUAGCGUCAUUUCUGUUCAGUUCUGAGAAUCGGUAGCUGUCACUUGUGCGGCGCUGCUCUGGAGGCCCCGUCCAGCGAGCUCAUAGGAGCUUGAGACCGUCGCAGUCCCCUCGGCAGACCCCCGUCAGUUGAGAGGAAAAAUGGUUGAAGCAGAUCGCCCAGGAAAGCUCUUUAUUGGUGGGCUUAAUACAGAAACAAAUGAGAAGGCCCUCGAGGCAGUGUUUGGCAAAUAUGGACGAAUAGUAGAAGUGCUUUUGAUGAAGGACCGAGAAACCAAUAAGUCAAGAGGAUUCGCAUUUGUCACCUUUGAAAGCCCAGCAGAUGCAAAGGAUGCUGCCAGAGACAUGAAUGGAAAGUCCUUAGAUGGAAAAGCCAUCAAGGUGGAGCAAGCCACCAAACCAUCAUUUGAAAGUGGUAGACGUGGACUGCCUCCACCUCCAAGAAGCAGAGGCCCUCCUAGAGGUCUUCGAGGAGGAAGAGGAGGAAGUGGAGGAACCAGAGGACCCCCCUCACGGGGAGGACACAUGGAUGAUGGUGGCUAUUCCAUGGAUUUUACCCUGAGUUCUUCGAGAGGACCUCUUCCAGUAAAAAGAGGACCACUGCCACGAAGUGGAGGUCCUCCUCCUAAAAGAUCAGCACCUUCAGGACCAGUUCGUAGCAGCAGUGGAAUGGGAGGAAGAGCCCCUGUGUCACGUGGAAGAGAUGGUUACGGAGGUCCGCCACGAAGGGAGCCGCUGCCUUCUCGUAGAGAUGUUUAUUUGUCCCCGAGAGAUGAUGGAUAUUCCACUAAAGACAGUUAUUCAAGCAGAGACUAUCCAAGUUCUCGAGAUACGCGAGAUUAUGUGCCACCACCAAGAGAUUAUACUUACCGUGAUUAUGGUCAUUCCAGUUCACGAGAUGACUAUCCAUCAAGAGGCUAUAGUGAUAGAGACGGAUAUGGCCGGGAUCGUGACUAUUCAGAUCAUCCAAGUGGAGGCUCCUACAGAGAUUCGUAUGAGAGUUAUGGUAACUCACGUAGUGCUCCACCUACACGAGGGCCCCCGCCAUCUUAUGGUGGAAGCAGUCGCUAUGAUGAUUACAGCAGCUCACGUGACGGAUAUGGUGGAAGUCGAGACAGUUACUCAAGCAGCCGAAGUGAUCUCUACUCAAGUGGUCGUGAUCGCGUGGGCAGACAAGAACGAGGGCUUCCCCCUUCUAUGGAAAGGGGGUACCCUCCUCCACGUGAUUCCUACAGCAGUUCAAGCCGCGGAGCACCAAGAGGUGGUGGCCGUGGAGGAAGCCGAUCUGAUAGAGGGGGAGGCAGAAGCAGAUACUAGGAACAAACAAAACUUGGACCAAAAAUCCCCAUUCAAAGAAACAAACAAAAAUGGAAACUUUGUCAUAAACUACCCAAGAACUACUAAAAGGAAAGAUUGUGUUACCUUUUUAAAAUUUCCUAUUCCCCUUAAUAAUUUUUAUGUUCUUGUGAGGGAAAAAGUAAGACAUGAUUAAUUUUAUUUGCUAUUAUGAGUUGCUUUCAACAAGCAAAUGGUAGAGAUGUGUAAGCCUUGACUUGUUACUAGUGUUGUACUUUUCCAAGUAAAAGUGUCCCUGAAGGCCACUUCCUGAUUUUUUUCUAGUCAAUGAGGCAAGCAAUCCCAAGAUCUUCCACAAACGUUCAGCCAUCUAGAUGUCCUUUGGUCUCCAUUGAGAGAUGAAUCACCCUUCCUGUGCAGACAAGCUAGCCAUUAGAGAGGGUUGGUUGGGUGUGCUACUUUCAGGAUUUUAUGGUGUCUUCCAACUGAAAUCUCAAUGUUCGAAGUAUAUAUAUUAAAACAAACAAACAAACCUGAGAUCCGAUGCCUAGGGAUGUACUAUUUACCCAGAAACCCAACAAAAAAAGCAAAUGGAUACUGGCCAUAUUUUGCUUUUCUGACAUUUCCUUGGGAAUCUACAAGAACCUCCCUUCCCCUCCCUGAGUAAGACCAUUUAAGUGUGUGUUAAAGAACUACAAAAUACUCAAUAAAAAGUUUGGCCAAAAUCAACCAUGAAGCUGCAAAACGAUGCUUGCUCUUACUGUUUCAAAUUUUUGCAACUCUGUAGUGUCUCACUUUUAAAGGAACAGCUUGAUUGCAAAGGAGAAAAUAGAUAAGCAAUGAAGUUAUCUCCAACUUCCUAAAGGCUUAUGACUUCUAAAAAGUGAAUCUAUCAGCAUUCCACAUCAGAUUUAAAGCACCAAAUGCCUGUGAAACCGCAAAGAUGGUUGAACCUAAUGGUCAUUUGGUCAUGGAGUGCUGAUUGAUUCACAGUAGAUAAAGCUGGCAGUAAGGAACAGUCAGAUGCUCAGAGUUGUUGAAGCAGAGGAAUGCUGAGACUAAGCCACAGCAGUUGCUUGCCCAGUGCGCAGCAGAAUUGGUUUGGUACAGGCAAUAGAUUUUUUUUUGUCUUCAAGGGAGGGAGGCUGAUUAAACCUAAUCUCAGUGCUGGUUAACCCUUUAGGGAGUGGUGAUCACUUAAAAACUGACUGGAUAGAGGGAGACUAAUUGUUAAGUGGAGGCACCUACUCAAGAAGUUCCGGUGACUCUUUGUAGACGUUCAGUGGUUCCGACAAAGUAAUGGAGCAACUCUUCAAUUUAGAGCUGAUCACUGACUAGAGGAAACUUGAAUUAUCUGGGACUGUAACUCCAUGGUGGAAUGCUUGCCUGAGUACCAGUGAGGCCUAGAGUUCAACCCCUGGCAGAACACACAGAAACACUUCAGUCAUAAAAAUUACACCUCGGUGGUAACUUUAUUCAUUGAUGUCUGAUUUUCAGAAGGAACCCAUUUGAUGAAUUGCCUCAUCAGUAAGAAACAUAACUAGUUGUCCUGUAAAACUUAGAAGGGGAAGGGCAGUGCUGGGAAAUGAAAGCAAAAACUGGAAACAUUGUUAGACUAGUGGAAAGCAUAUUGAAAACAAAAAUAGGUCACUGGGUCAUUGUAGUUUUAUAAAGGUACUUUACCCUCAGGUCUCCGUCUUGAAAACGAAUCAUGAUACAGCUCUAGUUUACUGCUUUGGAAAUUAAGAACCAGUAAUGUAAAUGCAGAUAUUUUCAACAGAAGCAGGUUGAGUUAUAGGGUCAAAGAAUUUAACUCAACUUCUGUGAUUUUUCUUAAGAAUUUGUUACAAUACUGUUAUAGUUGAGGGAAUUUCAAGACUUUAAUACUCUAAUCAGGCCUGGAGUGGGUUCUUCUGUCAAGACCUUUAGGCUCUUGAUAUUUUAUGUAGAUUUUUUUAGUUUGUCAUGGACAAUGCUACACUGAAUACGAAUAUUAAAUUCAAAGUAGGGAGUAGAUGGAAAAUUUUAAGAGACUUUUUUGACAAAUGGUAGAAUAUAGAACCAGCAGGCCUAAAAUUUGCAAUUAGAAAAAAAUUAGCCUUGAUUCUUCUGGCUAAAGUCUGGUUGUAGAAGAAUUUAAAUACAGAAAGUGUUGUGGUGUGUUUGGUCGCUGGAUGUAGAACAUAGGUAUUAUAGAUCAUUUUUUGGAAUGUUUCGCAUUGAAACCCAAUAAAACUUGAACAUGUG
Molecule: non-coding RNA, 3614 nt
Organism: Arvicanthis niloticus (Nile rat)
Lineage: Eukaryota; Metazoa; Chordata; Mammalia; Rodentia; Muridae
Source: RefSeq, a predicted model, not a curated record